AGUGAACGCUGGCGGUAGGCCUAACACAUGCAAGUCGAACGGCAGCACAGGAGAGCUUGCUCUCUGGGUGGCGAGUGGCGGACGGGUGAGGAAUACAUCGGAACCUACUCUGUCGUGGGGGAUAACGUAGGGAAACUUACGCUAAUACCGCAUACGACCUACGGGUGAAAGCAGGGGAUCUUCGGACCUUGCGCGAUUGAAUGAGCCGAUGUCGGAUUAGCUAGUUGGCGGGGUAAAGGCCCACCAAGGCGACGAUCCGUAGCUGGUCUGAGGGGAGGAUCAGCCACACUGGAACUGAGACACGGUCCAGACUCCUACGGGAGGCAGCAGUGGGGAACAUUGGACAAUGGGCGCAAGCCUGAUCCAGCCAUACCGCGUGGGUGAAGGAGGCCUUCGGGUUGUAAAGCCCUUUUGUUGGGAAAGAAAUCCAGCUGGCUAAUACCCGGUUGGGAUGACGGUACCCAAAGAAUAAGCACCGGCUAACUUCGUGCCAGCAGCCGCAGUAA
This 506-nucleotide ribosomal RNA is filed under the name uncultured bacterium. RNAcentral's name for it is "partial 16S ribosomal RNA". It matches the Rfam family "Bacterial small subunit ribosomal RNA", at positions 29 to 523 of the family's 1533-position model. The record is from RNAcentral.